GGGGAAUGUUCCAUUUGAUGUACGCAUUGGCUGUUGAAGGGGACAAGAGGCCUCGACGGAUCUAUGAUCACAUGACCCAGCGAUGCGAUGGCAUCCAAAUUUAAGGAACGGUCAUGCCGCAGCUACACAGAAACAUUUCUCCGAUUGAAAGGGCAAAAAAAAUCCAUCACGUUCAACCGUUUGCUCGCCCAUUUGUAAUUGUUGACACGGGAAAGAACCAAACCAUCCGCUACAUUUUUGUCCACAAAAAUGGCUGCGGCCACUCUCUCCGUCCGGCCCAACCGCCUCGCUCCUGGUUCACCCUUCUCCUGGCCACCGGUCCACCUCCCCACCUCCGCCGCCACCACAACUCAAAUAAAGUCCUCGAAGAAUGAGCCAUGGAGGGCCACAAUAAUUCCAUCUUCUCGUCGCCUCUUAGCUGCAGGUGGCGCGCGAGCCGGUUCCCGAGCCGACGACUCUGCGCCGUCUGAGAUGUCGGUCGAGAACGCUCUCAAGCUUCUCGGCGUCUCCGAGAGCGCGUCUUUCGAUGAUAUACUUCGCGCCAAAAAAGCUAUUAUUGCUGCGUGCAAGGAUAACCAGGAAGCGAUUGCACAGGUUGAGGCUGCAUAUGAUAUGUUACUCAUGCGAAGCUUAACUCAACGUCGAGCUGGCAAAGUUGCAAAUAGUGGCAUCUGGUAUGCUGAUGUCAAGCCCAUAAAU
RNAcentral lists this unclassified non-coding RNA (699 nucleotides) under Hevea brasiliensis (rubber tree). Lineage: Eukaryota; Viridiplantae; Streptophyta; Magnoliopsida; Malpighiales; Euphorbiaceae. The record is from RNAcentral.